GAGAUAACGAAUAUGAUAACAUAUACAACGCCAUGUGCAAACAGAGUGGUGUGCCAGUCUACAAAUGUAAAAAUGGGGUAUAUGCAGUUCCAGGAUCUGCUCAGAUGGAAAAUAUAGAACAACACCUUCCAGGAGGCCCUUCACUGAGAGAACAGAUGAAGAGCUACACGGUAUUACUGGGAUGCUUGCAAGACAACGAUUGCCAUGACAUGACAGGAGAAGGACUGAAAAACGUAUUUGAUGAUUUCGACUACAUUUUCAUCGACUGUCCUCCAGCACUUUCCAAGAACACUUAUAAUGCUUUGGUUGCUGCGAGCAAGAUUUUGAUUCCAGUACAGAUGGAAGCAUUAUCUGUCAAAGGAGUAAGUGAAGUACUCAGCGUAAUGGAUGAAGUGAAGGAGUUCCACAUGAACGAUAAUUUGGAAUUACUUGGACUCCUGCCAGUUAUGGUAGAUGAACGAACCAAGAUUACCAAGCAGUUGAGCAAACUUUUAGGCGAAAAACAUGGCGACUUAAUUCUGCCUUGCCGUAUCCGCGGUCGGAGCACAGCAAUGUGUGACGGCGUGCCUUUUGCAUAAUGAUCCUACGAGUUACCGUCACUGGCGAGGUUGAGUGUCACGAGACACGUAGCCGCAGUGAAAGCGAGCCUGAAUAGGGCGCACAGUCAGUGGGGGUAGACGCGAAACCAAGUGAUCUACACUUGGCCAGGAUGAAGUCCCGGUAACACGGGAUGGAGGUCCGCACCAAUAAGCGUUGAAAAGCUUCUGGAUGAGCCGAGUGUAGGAGUGAAAGGCCAAUCAAACUUGGAGAUAGCUCGUACUCCCCGAAAGGCAUUUAGGUGCCGCGUCGGAUGGUCACCGUGAGAGGUAGAGCGACCGAUAGGACAAGAGGGCUUCACCGCCUAUCGAGUCCUGACGAACUCCGAAUGCUCACGGUCUGCAGUCCGGCAGUAAGGGGGCGGGUGCUAAGGUCCGUCCCCGAGAGGAGAAGAAUCCAGACCGCCGUCUAAGGUCCCGGAGUUCUGCCUGAGUUAGUCUAACGAAGUCUGGUCCCUAUGACAGCUAGGAUGUUGGCUUGGAAGCAGCCAUUCAUUCAAAGAGUGCGUAACAGCUCACUAGUCGAGGGUCCGGGCAUGGAUAAUAAUCGGGUAUAAGGCAGACACCGAAGGCGCGGGAUAGCAUUAAAGAAAGUAUCGGUAGGGGAGCAUACUCACAGCGUCGAAUGGUGUACGUAAGUUAUCCUGGAGCGGUGAGUAAAGCAAAUGUAGGAAUAAGUAACGAUAAGGAGGGUUAGAUUCCCUCCCGCUGUAAGACCAAGGUUUCCCGGGCAAUGCCAAUCAGCCCGGGGUCAGUCGGGUCCUAAGUCUAAGCCGAACGGCGAUGGCGAUGGCAGAGACGGUUAAUAUUCCGUCACUGCCGCAUGGGGCGACGUGGAGACGGAGCAGUGAAACCACCGCGGGGCGACGGAAGUCCCCGUUGAAGGGUGUAGGCGUUGAGGAUGGCAGGCAAAUCCACCGUCCGAGCUGAACCUGACAGUACGGAGUCCUCCUCGGAGGAAUCUGAUAGUGUGGGUAAUCAUACUCCCGAGAAAAUCCGCUAAGCUUAACCCAUGCGGCACCCGUACCGCAAACGGACACACGUGGUCGGGUAGAACAUACUAAGGCGUUGAGAGAUUCAUGGUUAAGGAACUAGGCAAAUUGACCCUGUAACUUCGGGAUAAAGGGUCCUCGUGAUGAGCGAGGCGCAGAGAAUAGGUCCAGGCAACUGUUUAACAAAAACACAGGGCUGUGCAAACUCGAAAGAUGACGUAUACAGCCUGACACCUGCCCGGUGCCGGAAGGUUAAGAGGAGAUGUCACUCGCAAGAGGAAGCAUUGAAUUGAAGCCCCGGUAAACGGCGGCCGUAACUAUAACGGUCCUAAGGUAGCGAAAUUCCUUGUCGGGUAAGUUCCGACCUGCACGAAUGGUGUAAUGAUCUGGACGCUGUCUCAACCGUGAGCUCAGUGAAAUUGUAGUAUCGGUGAAGAUGCCGAUUACCCGCGAUGGGACGAAAAGACCCCGUGAACCUUUACUACAGCUUAGCAUUGACCUUGGUCAUCCGAUGUGUAGGAUAGGCCGGAGGCUUCGAAGCGGGAGCGCCAGCUUUCGUGGAGCCAUCCUUGAAAUACGGCCCUUUGGCUGUCUGAGGUCUAACGCGUGAUACGCGGACACUGCUUGGUGGGUAGUUUGACUGGGGUGGUCGCCUCCAAAAGCGUAACGGAGGCUUCCAAAGGUGCCCUCGGGUCGAUUGGUAACCGACCUCAAAGAGUGCAAUGGCAUAAGGGCGCUUGACUGGGAGGCAGACAUGCCGAGCAGGCAGGAAACUGGGGCAUAGUGAUCCGGCGGAUGUGUAUGGAAACUCCGUCGCUCAAAGGAUAAAAGGUACUCCGGGGAUAACAGGCUGAUCCCCCCCAAGAGCUCAUAUCGACGGGGUGGUUUGGCACCUCGAUGUCGGCUCGUCACAUCCUGGGGCUGGAGAAGGUCCCAAGGGUUGGGCUGUUCGCCCAUU
Molecule: ribosomal RNA, 2546 nt
Filed under: human gut metagenome
Description: bacterial LSU rRNA
Rfam family: Bacterial large subunit ribosomal RNA (bases 482-2546)
Source: RNAcentral